AUGGGACAUUGCCUUUGGACCGCUGUUCUUCUUGCUGCACUUAUCUUUGAAUGCAGAGGAGAAGACUCAGUCAUUCAGCCACCAGGAGAUGUGAUCGCUACUGAGGGAGAACAGGUCACAAUGGACUGUCAAUUUGAUACUACGGAUACAGCUCCAUCUCUCUUCUGGUACAUUCAAUCCACAAACAAUUACCCUGAAUAUGUUUUGCGGAAGGAUGUCAUUGGACCAGGGGAUAUUGAUGAUAGAUUCAAGGGGAGAUUUGAUGCCCAUCUCAGUUCCAUCACCAAAUCAGUCCCCUUGACAAUCCAGAGGUUGCAGCUGUCUGACUCUGCUGUGUACUACUGUGCACUGAGGCCCACUGUGACAACAGGAUAUACAGCCCCCUUACAAAAACACUGUGUGUGCAGGUGGGUGCGUGUGUACAGGACUUUGUGUUUUUUUAAGUCAAUGGGAGGUGUUAUAUAAUUGAGGCAGAGGAAAGGAAAUGCCUUUUAUAGCUGACAGUGAGAAACCAGGG
This is a non-coding RNA of Salvelinus fontinalis (brook trout), 517 nucleotides long. The record is from the annotation of a RefSeq genome assembly. NCBI's taxonomy places the organism in Eukaryota, Metazoa, Chordata, Actinopteri, Salmoniformes, Salmonidae.